UAUAAAGGGCCGAACGAUACGUGGACACCGUGUAAAUAGUCGCUACCCAGAAUCCCAUUGAAAUAGGGUAUCCCCACUGUGGCUGCUAACUGCUGUAAAUACUCUCCAAAUACAAAUACAACUUGCAAAUGCGAUUUUGUACAAAAAAAGGAAACAAAAACCAAAAACAAAUCCUAACGAUAAACCCAAUAAAAACUAACAAUAUUAAGUAAUAAAUAAAUAAAAUGAAAUGAAAGAGUAUAAAACAUUUAAAUGUCAGCUAAUUGUACUGUACGUAGUUUCUCUAUAUCUGUAAGAAAGCAAAGAUUUAAGAGAUGAAUAAGCAUUAGAGAAGAUAACGAUAAAGAUAAAGGUCCAGUCGAAGAUGAUGAAACUAGCAAAACACCAAAGACGAACGAGGAUUGAGGAGAGGGAAAUGAAGCGUAACGAAAAGAAAACCGCCUACUUAAGAUUAGAUAUUAUGUUUUAGAUCGAUCGGUCGGAGGAAAUGAUUUUAGCUUCAUAAACACAAGAAUACCAGAUAGCGGAUAGCGGAUAAAGGUUAACGAUAACAUUUACCAAACACAUGAAAUAUGAACAUGAAAAUGAAUCCAGAUAGCGAUACAAAGAGCCGAGUGUAAAGUAAGGUUGUUUUUUUUUCCUAGCCUUAAUCUAGACAAAUGAAUAAAUUUAGCAAACAUAAGUGUAAAUGAGUCUAAGAAUUACCGAUGUAUAGCUGAAUUUAGAACUUUAUUAUAAUUUUAUUAUUACAAUUAUAUGUUCAUAUUUUGUCCUACAUCUUAAGACUUUGAUUUAAUCACAAAAUAAGCCACUAUAAUUAAACAACAGCAAAAAAAAAGAAAAAACACAAAACAAAAACCACAAAUAAAAUGGAGAACAAGAAAUUGAAAAUCGUGUUAAUAUUUACCUAUGAAAGCUUAACAAAAAACAUAAAUUAUAAAAUGAAACAAAAAAAAACAGAAAAAAAUUUGGAAUAAAUGUGUUCAGCAAAAGAAAUGUUAUUAUAUGUUUAAAUAAAUUACAAUUAAUUCGAAAUGAACAAAAAAUUUAAUGUAAUUAAAUUGAGCUAAGUACACGAGUAAAAUUCUAAACAAUUUCAAAUUGUACAUAAACAGCAUAUACAUAUACAGAUACAUUUAGCAUGUAGCAUAUGUAUAUCUAGACAUAUGCAUAUGCUGCAUCCGAAUUACAAGCUAGCUAAUCGCAGACUAAGCGCAGACUAAAAUACGAAAACCCUAAGCCCUGAACAUACCAAAGACACUCACUCGAGCAUGAGACACUCGAUAAGCAAGAUGAACAGUGAGGAGAUUAGGAAAACGGAACCCUAUGCUGAUCCAAUCCGAUCCGAACCCACAAUAAAGAAGCGAUAUCGAAGCAAAUAAAUUGUGAAAAGUGUUUUCGAACCGUUUUUUAUUUCGCACAGUCACCUGUGCCCGCCCCCUCCACCACCCACAAGUUUCCCCUUGUAAAUAGUAUUCGAAUUAUCCGUCUCAUUCCAUUCCGAUUCGCUCCGUUCCGUUCCAUACUUGUAUGUACCUAUAUAUUUUCUGGUAUUUGUAUUUUGGCCUUAGAUCCGUAGUUAGUCGAGUCGAAAUGGAAACGGAAUCGAAGCCGGAAACCGGAAAACGGAAACCGUAUCCCUUUCGAUUUAGGAUCUAGUCUGAAGCAAAAACGCUAGUUCUGUAUUCUUAGUUUGUAUUGUAAUUGUAUUAGCUGGCGCUCAAAAACCCAAAUGUAAUGAAAAGUUCUAAAUUGUAAAUACAUAUUUGAUUUCGUUUCGUAACGUACGAGUAUCUUGUGUGAGCUCAACCUAAUUUUCGUCUUUGGCAUAUCAAUCACUCCCAGCUGCAGUUGAGUUAUCCGAUCCGUAAUCAGUAAUCAGAAAUCAGUAAUGAGUCAAUCAGUCGAUCAACGCUAACCGAUUAGAUACACCCACAUACAUAUAUACUACAUACUACCACAUACACACUCUCACGUACAUGAUUUAGGAGCUGAAAGCGCAUUUCUUUCGGUUUUCUUAUUACUUUCAUAUGCUUGAACUAUGCUCUACUCAACUCUACGCUCUACUCAACUCAACUCUAGUCUAGCCUACUUUAAUCCAAAAGCGAAAUGCAUUAAACGAAAUCGAGAAACUUAGGGCGAUAUAUUAGUGAAUAGAAUCCCAGGAAAACAAGAACAAGAAGAUGAUUAAGAUGAUGAUGAAGAAGCAAACAUAUCGUUGUAAAGCAAGAACUAAGUUAUGAAAACCACGAAUAACUCAAAAGAAAAAGUCUAACUUAUGAUGCAUAAUUAUUUUCGAAUAUAACACUAACACGCCACAACAAACAUUCGACUUCUCCAGUUCAAUUCAAACCAAAAACAAUCUUUUCAAGUUUUCCAUUAAAUUUAAUUGCAAGCCUAACGAAAAAAUCUUAACACGCAUACGUAAACAAAAAGGAAUAUUUAUAUAAAAAUAAUGAAAACCAUUUUGAUUGUACGGACUAUAAUGAAACAAUACACAUUUACCAUAUGCUAUGUACGAGUAAAUCAAAACAUAAACCAACAAAUGGAAACAAAAAAAAAUAAAAUCUUUCAAAAUCUUCUCAAUGCUUCAAGAACAAACAAAAAGAAAGCAAAUUUCUAUUAAGGACAAAGACUGCAAAUAGAGAUUUAAAAAAAACGUACACUUAAAAAGCAAAAGCAAAAACCAAAAACAUUGAUAAAUUAAUUAAUUGAUUUUUAAUUCUAAUUUGGCCUUGAUUCAACCUACCAGGAAAUAAGUUUAGGUUUAGUUAGAAGUUCAAGACACUACACCACACACCACCAUACAAUACCAUACAAUACCAACCAAACCGGACCGGACCGGACAGAACUGAAUCGUAUCGAAUCGAAUCGUAUAGAACUUUCAAUUUGAAAAACUACACCCGAACCGCAGACAUUUACGAGUAGUAUCAGAAAUAGCAUAUUUUCGGAAUAAUAAUAGUAACAAUAAUGCAGAACCAAUGAACAAGACCCAGUCACAAGCAAGUACAUGAAAGCAGAUGAUAAUGAUAACAUACAUACGUACAUAUAAUACAAAACUCGAUUCGAACACGAAGAACAGUCGCAAUAAUCCCCAUUGACAAAAAUCUAGUAUUACGCCCGAUAAGAUAUUACAAAGCUAAAACGAAAACCGAAACUCACACACAGAAAUUAAACCGAAAGAAACAAAAGAACGCAUAAUGAAAACAAAAGAAAACGAAACCAAACAAAAAUGGAAAUGUUGUUAAGAUUAAAAAUGAAAUGUUUUAUAAUCGUUAUUCAAUAAAAAUAAAAAAUAAAUAAAUUUCCAAGAAAUCAUUAACCAAUAAACAAGCAAGCAAUGGCGCAAUUCGAAUUCAUUCGAACAAUUCUAGCUGUAAUCUACCACCAUCUCUACCAAUCUGCCAAUCUAUCGAUAUACCGAUACCUAGGCAAUAAUCCAAUCGACUGGUCCCGAAAGCCCCAUUUGAUCCAUUUUAGACUAGCUGGUAGUAUUUGCUUUGUGAUCUCACUUCUAACUUAUUAUUUUGUUGGGUAGGCCUAUUCGCAAGGGAUGGCAUUAGAUCUAGUUAGUCACUACGUUAUUCUUAUUCCUUAUACAGUUAUCGUAAUUAUAAGCCUUGGCUCUAGUAACCUAGAUCUAAGUCCAGACCCUUCCCUCCGAAAAGGGGGGCUUGGCACCUCCCCUUUUCUUUUCGAACACGCAGACAGACCACCCCACACACACACCCGAGUCAUAUACCAUUAUAUCUACAGUAAAUAUACUAUAUAUACAUACAUAUAUACAUAUAUAUAUGUAUGCCAUGCCAUGCCAGUAGCACAUACCAUUGCAGACAUCUCCCUAGCGUAGUUUAGCUCUUUUGCCCACCUACCCCCACACUCCCCCAAAAGAAAUGCAUACACAUACUAUCGCCGUGAGCACACACUAAUCGCAGAUAUAGCGAUCAAUCGAGUGAUAAAAGUAACGAGAGUACACUUAAAAAAGAAUACCCUUACAACUUACUGAAAAUCUUGGAAAGUUGAAGUCCAAACAGGUUAAAUCCGGCCCCGGCAGUCAAAGCGAUGCUAAUCAAUCCAGCGAACGAAUCGCUUCAGCGCUCAGCCGCCUGCACCUGCUCAGCCGACGCUCCUGCGCUAUCCUGCUAUACCGUAACCGUUAUCGUUGCCGUUACCGUUAUCGCUAUAUCAUUAACGCUAUCGCAACCAGAAAUGCCAGCAGCAGCAGUAGCAGCAACUGCAGCAGCAGCAUCUGUAGCAUCUGCCGCAGCAACAACAUCAGCGUCUUGAACAACAACGAACAACUAGGAAGAUCUAACAGCCCUGUCAAAAUGCUGAGGCUGUGCGGCUCCUGCUUCUGCUCCUAAGUCCCGUUUCCCUGUGCUUCCCGAUUCCGGUGCAUGUGCAAUCAGUUGCUGUAUCCAAUCGAAAUCGAAUAACAAUCGAAAAUCGAUAUUGAGAUCGCGACAGUACCAGAAUCAGAUCGCGUCAAGCGCAAUCUGCCAGCAAAUUCAAAUCCAAGCAAAGCAAAUCAAAGCAAACAAAAAGCAAAAGCAAAGCAAUCCCAAAUCAAAAGCAAACAAAAACAAAUUGCAAAACUUUUGCAAGAAAUAUACACAACGGCGCACGCUUAGCACAUUUGCAUAAAAAUACAACUUACUUGCUACCUAUAUCUCCACAACCAACAUACCCAAAAUACACCCAACACACUCUAAACACACAGACACUAUCACACAGGAAUGCAUACACCAACUAAGGAGUUAAAUCGAAACUUUUUUGGCUUUUCUACUCACUUUGAACACGUUUUUUCUCUCGCUUUGAUUUUGAUUUCGUUCCUUGACUCGAGUACUCGAAUGAGCAUUAUAUCAGCAACUACUCUUUGCCUAAUUACGAUCGCUUAACUAUACCUAAUCUCUAUGUUACGAACACAUCAAAAAGAACAC
Molecule: long non-coding RNA, 4940 nt
Organism: Drosophila simulans
Lineage: Eukaryota; Metazoa; Arthropoda; Insecta; Diptera; Drosophilidae
Exons: 2
Source: RefSeq, a predicted model, not a curated record